Molecule: ribosomal RNA, 252 nt
Filed under: uncultured bacterium
Lineage: Bacteria
Description: partial 16S ribosomal RNA
Rfam family: Bacterial small subunit ribosomal RNA
Source: RNAcentral
UACGUAAGGUUCGAGCGUUGUCCGGAAUCAUUGGGCGUAAAGGGUACGUAGGCGGAUAAGCAAGUUAGAAGUGAAAUCCUAUAGCUCAACUAUAGUAAGCUUUUGAAACUGCUCAUCUUGAGGUAUGGAAGGGAAGGUGGAAUUCCUAGUGUAGCGGUGAAAUGCGCAGAUAUUAGGAAGAAUACCAGUGGCGAAGGCGACUUUCUGGCAAUCAUCAGACGCUGAGGUACGAAAGCGUGGGGAGCAAACAGG